CCAAAUUUUCUGGAGAAUGAAAUAAAUGUAAUUUUAUGGGAAUAACAUUUAAAGGGAGAUUAGAAGAUACUUGAGAAAGUGUUUUUAAAUUCCAACCUACAGUCUCUGCACAAAGGACUAUCAGAUUCAGCAUUUGGGUCAUACAGCUUUGAUUACCUUCAACAGCAUUUUUCUUCUGAAAAAAAGAGAAAUUGAAGCCGUUGCAGCCAUCGUUAGCGAGCGGCGGGCAGCGGCGGAUGGGAAGGGCAGCAGCUCUGAGCAGGGGAGCAGCACGUUCCCAUUUGCUGCUGGUGCCUGUUCCCAGUCCGAGGGCUGGGGGAGCUGGCGACAGCUGCGGGGUGUCUCCAGCGAUGAUCUGUGCCCGUGGCUUUGCUGGUGCCCGCAGUGGGGAAUCAGAAGUUAUUUCAGGGAGGAGAAUGGCUUUUGUGCUGUGGCUGUGGGAAAAUCAUGCUGCGUUUGGUUUGCACGGGCUGUGAGAUGGGACCCUGGAGAAAUAAGUCUCUUCUGCUUAGUAAUAUGUAUCAUAAAUGAAUAAAUGUCACACUGUCUUGCUCCUGUUUUCUCUAUUUCUUAGCAGAACGGGAUCUUGAGAUGCAUCUCUGCAAGCUGACUCAUUCUGGAUCUUAUUAAAACGUCUCCUUUUGACUUGCACGCCUCUGAAAACCAGAAGGCAAAGAAAUGGCUUGCAGACAGCAGAGCAGAAACGAUUAGGCAAUGUAAUUCUCAGAGGCUUUCCGUGUCAGAAAGGGGGCCAUGGGAUUUAUCCUACCUUCCAGCAGCGUAAAUCCAUCCGUGUGGAAGGGACACCAUCUUCCCCCACCUCCUCAAUGCUAACUUCAGCGAGUCUCUUUCCAUUUUUCUUCAGUGUCUGCUGCCUGCCAUCCCUCUGCCUUUAUCCCAUUAGAAGUUUGCCAGAGAACUGUGAUUUACUCCAAAUGAAAUUUUAGUAGUAAAAAGAAUAGAGUCACUUUAAUUAUUUUUCCCUUUGAAAGUGGGAUGGUGAGCAAUAUUGUCUACGAGGCUCCAGUUAAUUUGGCUUUUAGCCUAUUUUGCAGUUAUUCACCUGCAUUUCUUAACUAUGUUAUUCACUGUAGGCAUGGAUAGUGGAAGAAAUCAUAAAUCUUGCUGCAUACUAUUAAGCUAAGGAAAACCCUGGGAAUCAGCGGCCUUGGCUGGGAUGCUCUGAAGUGUUCCCUGAUUCGACACGACGCCCCUGCACACCAGGUCCCCCACCGCCCUGCUUCUGCACCCCCUCAGAACGUGCUGGUCUGUGCGUGAGUGCUAUUGCUGCGCCGAGGGGCUUAAAUCACAGUAGUACAGUGUGGGCUGAGAACCCUGAUGUCGGGAGUGGGGGUAGGAAAGAGACUUUCAGCUUUUCCUGGGACAGCUUAAAGAGACGAGGUUUCCACAAAAUUGGUCAAAUGCACCAUUUCUUCCCCGAAGUUAUACGGAAAAAGAAAACAUCCAUAAGUAUUGCUAAGGAGGAGGAACCUGCUUUCCCUUUUUUUUUUUGUCUUAGUACCUCACUUCUCCAGAAGAGACUUUCAGUACGAUAACAAAGUGUUUUAUAGCAAAGAAUAUUUUCUGACUACUACCAGUGAGUUGAUGUAUGAAAAAAGAAGCACCAGUAGUGAGGCUGAUUAGCCACAAUAGAUUAUGCAAUCUAGAAAACAUGUCAGCCACUGAGUGUGCAGGAUCUCUGACGGGCAGAAAAUCUCAUUACUGAGCCGGGGAGAGCGGCCAGGCGCCGUUUUAUUCAAAAUACAAAUGUGCAAAUUAGCUACAAUGAAAGGCCAAGCUGUCGGAAACAGAAGCUGUUUACAUCUCAUUGCAAAUGCGAAAGUAGAGCCUGUUUCAUUAUAAAAGAUGUCACAGGCCAGGGAUUUGUACUUGAAGACAGUCUUACUUUCCCAAUGGGAAAUUCAGGCUUGUGGCCAUAACAUCCGACAGUGCGGUGGCUGGAUCCAAACCCCUCCGCAUGGGGCCAGCCCUCUGCAGAGCCAGGCUGAGUGGAGCUGCAGGGGCCAACAACAACAGAGAUGGUUUUGCUGCAAAAGAUGAUGUAGAAAUUUUCCAUAUUGUGAUGGUAAUUCCUCUCUUCUAGAGCUGGGGCUAAGGGACUGGUGGAAACCCCCUGUUUUGUCCUCGUUUUUGAAGACUCCAGCAUCUGCAGUGACCCUGGUACCAUUUACAGCCAGUUUCAAGUACUUACUGAAGAAUUGUUAGAAAAAAGCACAUUAAUUAUAAGCAGAGCAUCAGCUGGCAGCGAGUAGUGCAGAGUGCCACGACUGCGGGAGGAGCCGCACAGCCCAGCGAGUACAGCUCUGCGGUGGGGAACAAAUGUGCAGUUGAGGGUUUACGGAUGAGAAAGAGCAUCUUAUUUUGGCUACCCUACAACUGAGCUAGAUGAAAUGCUGCUGUGCUCUGAUACAACACUUGCCGUGUUUCCACGGCGGAGGGGAUGUUCUUGUGGUUGCUGUAAGUAUUUAAAACAUAGCUGCAUGGCAGAGUGAUUUCCGCGGAUCUUACCUUAGGGAUUUACAGGAUCUUCAGUAAAUCUGACCCCUGGGCACCGUUCUCCCCUUCCAGACGCAGCAUAACGCACCACUGCCUUUCUUGGCUGGUGGUGCUCUUGGUGUCAGCGUGGGGACACCUGCCCCUGGCCGGGGGGAGCAGACCCCGGGCACUGGAGAUGGAGCAGAGGGAGCUGUCCCACCCCAGCACUGCAAAGGCUGAGAACUGCUUAAUGUUCUGCAUUUUGGUGGAAAAUCAGCAUAUGUGUGGCACAAGAGGCUAGGAACAGUUUGUAUCCAAACUCUGCUCCCAAGUCCUUCAGCUGAAAAAGGCUAAAUCUGUGCAGGAGAGCUGAAAUACCACCUGAGAAACACUUCAAUUAAUGGACUGACAUUUUUGCCUUUGUAUUUCACCUAUUUUACCCAUUUUUCCUCUGCAUGGGAAUGCAAAAUAUUGUUUCCUAUUUGAUAGCUACUGUCUGUUACCUUAAUUGCAGCUCUCGCUGGGGGUGAAUACAGAGCACUGAAUGUUGUGCACACUCAGAGACACAGAAAAACCGCACAGGAAAUCACUAAAAGAAAUUUAGCACCGGGAAGUAAAGUAAUCCCAUGCUGAGAAACAAAGGGUCGUAGCGCUGCCUUUUCUGGUGCUUGGAUGCUAAU
This is a long non-coding RNA of Aquila chrysaetos chrysaetos, 3176 nucleotides long. RefSeq lists it as uncharacterized. The record is from RefSeq and is a predicted model, not a curated record. The transcript is spliced from 3 exons. Lineage: Eukaryota; Metazoa; Chordata; Aves; Accipitriformes; Accipitridae.